AUCUGACAGACAGCAAUUGAUGUGCGCCGAUCGAUAUCACCGAACGAUCUGUCGAUCCAUCCCACGUCCCACCCGUCCAACGGACUUGGGAAUUCCUAAGUUUAUGAACGGCAGAUGUGGGGCGGACCGACUCCAGAAUGAGUAACAUCGCGGAUCAUUUAACUGAUACGAAACGUGAUAACGUUGAGAUAAAUCGGAUUGGGAAUGGAUGUUUUCGCGAUGUUUAUCUAGUAAGUAAAAUCUACAUCAUAUUAUAAUUAUUCGGCCAACCAAAAAUAUAGAUAUGGCAAAAGCGAUGUCGCACGGCGACGGCAUUAUGCGUAGCGUUAUGCAUGGCAGCGAGAAUAAUAAUAAUAAUAAUAAACUAAAGGAGCGGUCCUCACGGUUAAAGAUCCGCCUGUGGCACACAGACUGCAGUCCCGGCAGAGAGAAUAGAUUUUAAUGAUUAUAUAACUUGCUUAAAAUAUAAUAAAAAAUAAUAGGAUUUUCAAAUUAAAAAAAAACGUAAAAUUUAUUUAUUAUUAGAAAAAAUAACAUUCUUCGGAAAAAGUUUAUUUAAUAUUUUAGAUCUUAAUAAAAACAGUUCAAUACAUAGGGAAAGAUAAAUAGGUUGUUAAAUUAGAUUGUUAAAUUAAAAUAGGUUAUUUAAUUAGGUUGUUAAAUUGAAAUUGUCUAAAUACAAGGGGGUAAUCACUCAGAACAUAAAUGUACACUGAAGUACGGACUACAAUGGACUUCAUCAAACUUUCGCCGGAAAACAAUGGAAUUUACUGCAAUUACUAAGAGAUAUCCCUAAAAAAGGGUCAUCAAAAAUCUUUGUCUAAUAACUGAUUAACUGACCAAAAAUUCAUAAUGACAACCAAAAUUUCAUGACAUAACACAAAAAAAUUUAUCAAAUUAUAACGGACUUUAUCAGACUACGACGGACUUCACCGGACUUAAUCGACUUCGAGGAAUUCAAUAAACUUCAAAGGACUUCUAACAGAUUGUACACCGGAAUUCAAGAGUGGUUACCACCUAGUCUAAAUACAUAAUAACAAAUAAUAUAAGAAAUAAAAUCAAGAUACAAUUAAAACAUUGUUAUUUCGAAAAUGACAAUUGACAAAAAUGACAAGAAAUAUCGAUAUAAGAAAUAUAAAAAUGUACAUUAAAAGUUUAUUUUAGAUAUAACAAGUUACUAUACAUUACAUAAUUUUUACUGUAUCAUAAAGAGCCAAUUUCAACAAUUUUACAGUAUACCUAUUUAAUAGAUUAAUAAACCGGUUUUACAAAGAAUAAAAUGAAACGUGAGAUAAUAUAAAUACUAUAAAUAGUAUAAAUUUAGAAUUAAGUACAAAGGCUAAUGAGAGUAGGGCGAGGUUAGUAAUGAAUAAAAAAAACACAUAAGACAUAAAGAAAAAUUACUUGUAUAUUCAACAAAAAUUCAAACGUAAACUCUGCUUCGGAGUCAUAACCAACUAAAUAACAGAUAACAUAGUUAAAUUAAAAUAUCUGAUCAUCCUUAGUACUUAAUUAUAAAUUUUAUAAAAUUCGAGAUUCUAUUACUAAAUAUAUUUGUUUAUAUAAACUGUGUUCC
This is a long non-coding RNA of Solenopsis invicta (red fire ant), 1576 nucleotides long. RefSeq lists it as uncharacterized. Lineage: Eukaryota; Metazoa; Arthropoda; Insecta; Hymenoptera; Formicidae. The transcript is spliced from 3 exons. The record is from RefSeq and is a predicted model, not a curated record.